ACAAAAGGAUUUAAGAGAACAAGU
This 24-nucleotide non-coding RNA is filed under the name Cricetulus griseus (Chinese hamster). Lineage: Eukaryota; Metazoa; Chordata; Mammalia; Rodentia; Cricetidae. The record is from RNAcentral.